AUCUGCGUAUAGGAGGUCUUGCCUGCCCAGUGACAAGUUAAACGGCCGCGGUAUUUUGACCGUGCGAAGGUAGCGCAAUCACUUGUCUUUUAAAUGAAGACCUGUAUGAAUGGUGGAACGAGGGCUUAACUGUCUCCUUUUUCAAGUCAAUGAAAUUGAUCUGCCCGUGCAGAAGCGGACAUACAAAUACAAGACGAGAAGACCCUUUGGAGCUUAAGAUACAAAAUCAACUACGUCAAGAACCCAGGUUAAACUAAGUAGCCCUUGAUCAACUAUCUUCGGUUGGGGCGACCACGGGAGAAAACAGAGCUCCCAAGAGGACUGGGGCAACCCCCUAAAACCAAGAGAAACAUCUCCAAGACACAGAAUAUCUGACCAUAAAGAUCCGGCCACCCGCCGACCAACGGACCAAGUUACCCCAGGGAUAACAGCGCAAUCCUCUUCCAGAGUCCAUAUCGACAAGAGGGUUUACGACCUCGAUGUUGGAUCAGGACAUCCUAAUGGUGCAGCCGCUAUUAAGGGUUCGUUUGUUCAACGAUUAAAGUCCUACGUGAUCU
RNAcentral lists this ribosomal RNA (557 nucleotides) under Chrysichthys rueppelli. Its description in RNAcentral is "partial large subunit ribosomal RNA". It matches the Rfam family "Bacterial large subunit ribosomal RNA", at positions 1837 to 2606 of the family's 2925-position model. Lineage: Eukaryota; Metazoa; Chordata; Actinopteri; Siluriformes; Claroteidae. The record is from RNAcentral.